UAGAUAGAUGCUCGCUGGCUUGGGCACUUAGCUGUUAACUAAGAGAUUGCAGGAUCGAGGCCUGCCUAUCUAG
Molecule: non-coding RNA, 73 nt
Organism: Scophthalmus maximus (turbot)
Lineage: Eukaryota; Metazoa; Chordata; Actinopteri; Pleuronectiformes; Scophthalmidae
Source: Ensembl